Molecule: ribosomal RNA, 661 nt
Filed under: uncultured bacterium
Lineage: Bacteria
Description: bacterial SSU rRNA
Rfam family: Bacterial small subunit ribosomal RNA
Source: RNAcentral
GGCAAGUCGAGCGGAUGACGGGGGAGCUUGCUCCCCUGAUUCAGCGGCGGACGGGUGAGUAACACGUGGGCAACCUGCCUGUAAGAUCGGGAUAACUCCGGGAAACCGGGGCUAAUACCGGAUGGUUCCUUCCUCCGCAUGGAGGAAGGCGGAAAGACGGUUUCGGCUGUCACUUACAGAUGGGCCCGCGGCGCAUUAGCUAGUUGGUGGGGUAACGGCCCACCAAGGCAACGAUGCGUAGCCGACCUGAGAGGGUGAUCGGCCACACUGGGACUGAGACACGGCCCAGACUCCUACGGGAGGCAGCAGUAGGGAAUCUUCCGCAAUGGACGAAAGUCUGACGGAGCAACGCCGCGUGAGCGAAGAAGGCCUUCGGGUCGUAAAGCUCUGUUGUAAGGGAAGAACAAGCAUCGGUUAACUGCCGGGUGCCCUGACGGUACCUUACCAGAAAGCCACGGCUAACUACGUGCCAGCAGCCGCGGGUAAUACGUAGGUGGCAAGCGUUGUCCGGAAUUAUGGGGGCGUAAAGCGCGCGCAGGCGGUUUCUUAAGUCUGAUGUGAAAGCCCACGGGCUCAGCCGUGGAGGGGUCAUUGGAAAACUGGGGAGACUUGAGUGCAGAAGAGGAAAGCGGAAUUCCGCGUGUAGCGGUGAAAAUGCGUA